GGGCAUGGCGGCAGCCUACACAUGCAGUCGAGCGGCAGCGCGAAGUACCUUGUUGCUUUGCACGGCGAGCGGGGGAAGGGUGAUUAAUGUCUGGGACACUGCCUGAUGGAGGGGGAUAACUACUGGAAACUGUAACUAAUACCGCACAACGUCGCAAGACCAGAGAGGGGGACCUUCUGGCCUCUUGCCAUCACAUGUGCCCAAAUGGGAUUAUCUAGUAGGUGGGGUAACGGCUCGCCUAGGCCACUAUCCCUAUCUGGUCUGAGAGGAUGACCACCCACACUGAAACUGAGACACGACCCAUACUCCUACGGGAGGCGGCAAUGGGGAAUAUUGGACAGUGGGCGCGAUCCUGAUGCCCCCAUGGCGCGUGUAUGAACAACGCCUUCUGGUUGUAUU
Molecule: ribosomal RNA, 399 nt
Filed under: Kosakonia sp. PD-P1
Lineage: Bacteria; Pseudomonadati; Pseudomonadota; Gammaproteobacteria; Enterobacterales; Enterobacteriaceae
Description: bacterial SSU rRNA
Rfam family: Bacterial small subunit ribosomal RNA
Source: RNAcentral